Molecule: long non-coding RNA, 443 nt
Filed under: Malus domestica (apple)
Lineage: Eukaryota; Viridiplantae; Streptophyta; Magnoliopsida; Rosales; Rosaceae
Description: long non-coding RNA (MDOM_LNC011700)
Source: RNAcentral
ACAACACACAAACUAACAGAGGCUUGGCUGAUUUUUGUGGGAGGUGUUAGAUCCGCGGAAGACAUAAUGGGCAAAAGGAAGAGCAGCACUCGAUUAGCUCAGAUCCGAAACACAAAAGGUAAACUCACAACCCUCCAUAACUAAUCUCUUACUGCAUGUCUCAUAUAAACUUCACCGUGUAACAUCCUGUAUAACAGUAACACUGAAAAAUCUCUUCUACUUUUUCUUAUAUGCUCGACGCCAAAUCCUCAUCUAAUAUUUUAUUCAACAAGUGGUCGACUUGCGCAGCGAGUAGGUCCAGCUCUACGAGCUGCGAAAGUGCGAUUCCGCAAACCGGAUAGCAGAAACUCGGACCGCUUCCUGUGACGGCUUUUACUAUUUCCAGUUUAUUUCUUUAUAUUUUCCACCAUCUGCUCCCUUCUCCCAAUUUUUAAUUUUUUCUU